AAGCCUUAACGGAGCAAGACCGCGUGAGGGAGGAAGGCUCUUGGGUUGUAAACCUCUUUUCUCAGGGAAGAAGCUCUGACGGUACCUGAGGAAUCAGCCUCGGCUAACUCCGUGCCAGCAGCCGCGGUAAUACGGAGGAGGCAAGCGUUAUCCGGAAUGAUUGGGCGUAAAGCGUUCGUAGGUGGCAAUUCAAGUCUGCUGUCAAAGACAGUAGCUCAACUACUGCAAGGCAGUGGAAACUGAAUAGCUAGAGUGCGGUAGGGGCAGAGGGAAUUCCCGGUGUAGCGGUGAAAUGCGUAGAGAUCGGGAAGAACACCGGUGGCGAAAGCGCUCUGCUGGGCCGCAACUGACACUGAGGGACGAAAGCUAGGGGAGCGAAUGGGAUUAGAUACCCCAGUAGUC
Molecule: ribosomal RNA, 402 nt
Filed under: uncultured cyanobacterium
Lineage: Bacteria; Bacillati; Cyanobacteriota
Description: bacterial SSU rRNA
Rfam family: Bacterial small subunit ribosomal RNA
Source: RNAcentral